Molecule: non-coding RNA, 75 nt
Organism: Myotis davidii
Lineage: Eukaryota; Metazoa; Chordata; Mammalia; Chiroptera; Vespertilionidae
Source: Rfam
GACAGUUCUUCGGUGAUGAACCCUGGAAUUGGGCUACCUCCUCUCUGGUUCUGGGUGCGUCACCCAAGAACUGCA